This 314-nucleotide long non-coding RNA is filed under the name Capra hircus (goat). RNAcentral's name for it is "lncRNA (ENSCHIG00000007377.1)". Lineage: Eukaryota; Metazoa; Chordata; Mammalia; Artiodactyla; Bovidae. The record is from RNAcentral.
CCUCAUUUCACCUCAUCAUUAGGCAUUUGAUCAUCUUACACCAUUACAAGAAGGGAACUAGGAUCCCACAUGCUGUGCAGCAACUAAGCUACAACUGCGGAGAAGCAGGGGCAACAGAAGAUCCUGCACGCAACCAAGAGAAUCUCCUUAGACAUGGCUGGAACCCGAUUCAGCCAAAUAAAUAAAUAAGAAGAAGAAGAAAAUUAAUUCAAAAGCUUCAAUUGUGGUAGCUAGAAAACAGAUCUUAUUUAUGACCUUUUCCAAACCACCAUGAUGCUAAAAAGGUGACAACACUCUUCAGAAAAAACAUUUUG